This 1161-nucleotide ribosomal RNA is filed under the name Triticum aestivum (bread wheat). RNAcentral describes it as "partial small subunit ribosomal RNA". The record is from RNAcentral. Lineage: Eukaryota; Viridiplantae; Streptophyta; Magnoliopsida; Poales; Poaceae.
AUGCUCCGGCUCCGGCGCAGCGUCCUCGCCAAGCUCCUCCCGUCUCCCUCCGUCUUCCCCGUCUCUCCUCUCCACCGCCUCAUCUCCGCCGCCGCGCCCGCCCCCGCCGUCGCCCCCAGCACCGGGUUCGCCGUCGAGGACUACCUCGUCUCCACCUGCGGCCUCACCCGACCCCAGGCCGUCAAGGCCUCCGCCAAGCUCUCCCACCUCAAGUUCCCCUCCAACCCCGACGCCGUCCUCGCCUUCCUCGCCGGCCUCGGCCUCUCCGGCGCCGACGCCGCCGCCCUCGUCGCCAAGGACCCCAAGUUCCUCUGCGCCGACGUGGGGAGAACCCUGUCCCCCGUCGCCGCGGGGCUCGCCGGCCUCGGCCUGUCGCCUUCCGAGAUCACCCGCCUCGUCUCGCUCGCCCCCGACAAAUUCCGCUGCAGAUCCAUCGUCGCCAAGCUGCAGUACUACCUGCCUCUCGCCGGUUCCUACGAGAACCUCCUCGGGGUGCUGAGGUAUGGCUCCUGCCUCGUCUCGUCCGACCUGGAGAGGGUGGUCAAGCCCAACGUCAUCUUCCUGCGGGCGUCCGGGCUAGCUGACUGCGACAUUGCCAAGCUGUGCAUCACUCUGCCAUGCCUGCUCACCUCCAGCUUCGAGAGCAUCCAGGCGAUGGUGCUGUGCGCCGAAGGCCUCGGUAUACGCCGUCAAUCCGGGAUGUUCAGGCACGCGCUGCAUGCCGUCGCAUUUGUCGGCCAACAGAAGGUCACCGCCAAAUUGGAUAACUUGAAGAAGACGUUUGGGUGGUCAGAUGCGGAGGUCGGCAUUGCUGUGUCCAAGUAUCCGAUGCUGCUGACGAGGUCUCACCACAUGCUGCAGAGCAGGUCAGAGUUCCUGAUCUCCGAGAUGGGGUUGGAACCGGCAUUCAUUGCUCAUCGGCCCGUAAUUGUCUGUCUUAGCCUGGAGCGCCGGCUCAGGCCCCGGUACUACGUUUUAAAGUUUCUCAAGGAAAAUGGAUUGCUCAAGGGUGAUCCGAGCUAUUAUACAGUUGUCAAGGUGAAUGAGAAUGUUUUCAUGCGGAGGUACAUGUGCCCUUACAAGGAAGCUGCGCCAUACCUCGCUGAAGACUAUGCAACCGCUUGCGGAGGGGAAGUGCCGGCUAGAUUCGUAUUUGCAUGA